UACGUAGGUGGCAAGCGUUGUCCGGAUUUACUGGGCGUAAAGAGCGCGCAGGCGGUCGUUCAAGUCGCGUGUGAAAGCCCCCGGCUCAACUGGGGAGGGUCACGCGAUACUGAUCGACUCGAAGGCAGGAGAGGGUAGUGGAAUUCCUAGUGUAGGAGUGAAAUCCGUAGAUAUUAGGAGGAACACCGGUGGCGAAGGCGGCUACCUGGACCGAUAUUGACGCUGAGACGCGAAAGCGUGGGGAGCAAACAGG
RNAcentral lists this ribosomal RNA (253 nucleotides) under uncultured bacterium. RNAcentral describes it as "partial 16S ribosomal RNA". It matches the Rfam family "Bacterial small subunit ribosomal RNA", at positions 524 to 776 of the family's 1533-position model. The record is from RNAcentral.